Molecule: long non-coding RNA, 483 nt
Filed under: Elaeis guineensis (African oil palm)
Lineage: Eukaryota; Viridiplantae; Streptophyta; Magnoliopsida; Arecales; Arecaceae
Description: long non-coding RNA (EGUI_LNC074333)
Source: RNAcentral
AAGAAGCCUCUACUUUCGGAUCUGAUGGGGAGUCAUCAGUUGGAUUCUCCAACCAACCAUCCCGAGAAGAAGAACCCCUAGCCAUUGAAGAGAAGAAGACUAAAGGAGAUGAAGAAUGACUUAAAAAAGACAAAGGACUUAACCUGAAACUCAAAAAGGAAGACGAGGAGGAAAGAGUCUUCAGACGCUGGGAUGAUCCUCUGGCAAAGCUUCCACCGCAAAAAAAGACAAAUGUAAAGUAAAAGGUUAGCUAAAAGCGACCAUAUAUAUAUAAGAUCCCUUAACGGCCAGGAUCGAAGCAUCCAAAUUAGAGUCUCACCAGAUGUUGACACAUGAUGACAUCUGAGCCGAUAAUUGAUCAAACGGUUUGACGCACCUACUCCAGAUCGAGCCACGUCAUCGUUAUCCACGUGAACAACUCCGAUCCAAUGACAAUCGGACACAACAAAAAUCUAUUUGUCAGAAUCAUAUCAUCCGACACCA